Poecilia latipinna (sailfin molly) is the source of this 582-nucleotide long non-coding RNA. RefSeq lists it as uncharacterized. The record is from RefSeq and is a predicted model, not a curated record. The transcript is spliced from 3 exons. Lineage: Eukaryota; Metazoa; Chordata; Actinopteri; Cyprinodontiformes; Poeciliidae.
ACCGGUAUUCUUUUUCUUGCUCUCUGUCAGCUAUGCUUCACACAGAGCCGUUGCCGUAGUGACUGACUGACAACAGCUCCAGCUCCAGCUCCAAAAACCAAGCAAACAUUUCUCACACAAAGGAAAGACACAAGUUUUACUUGAUUGUCAUGAGCUAGCACCACGCUCUUACCAAAUAAAGGAAGUGUUAGCCAUGCCAGCCAAGGGAAAGUACCUGCUGAAUAACCAGGAGCUCAAAAAUGAGGCACUCUACCGCAGAUUCUCCUGCAUCAGCCAGUAUCAGCCACUGGCUCUGCUGGGCCUCUCCAUAUUCUUCUGUCUGUAAAUCUGUAACAUUCAGUUGUUACAGAUUUAGGUGUUAAGGUUGUCAAAGUCAAGCUAGCAUAGCUCACCUACUUUUAAUUAAAACUUUUCCCUGAUCUGGUGAUAUUCUUGGGCCUUAUUAUUGUUGUGGUAUUGUUGGCUAUUAAUAACAAAGUGUCCCUUUUUUUUCACAUAUCAAACGUGCAUUUAAGAUUUACAGUGUUAUGUUGACAACUUGACAGCUAAAACCAAUGGUAGUCAUCUGCUAGCAGUUUUUUU